GCCAUCGUAGCUCAGUGGCAGAGCGCACCCUUGGUAAGGGUGAGGUCGUAUGUUCAAUCCAUAUCGGUGGCA
Molecule: non-coding RNA, 72 nt
Organism: Eupeodes corollae
Lineage: Eukaryota; Metazoa; Arthropoda; Insecta; Diptera; Syrphidae
Source: the annotation of a RefSeq genome assembly